AGAGUUUGAUCAUGGCUCAGAUUGAACGCUGGCGGCAUGCCUUACACAUGCAAGUCGAACGGCAGCGCGGGGCAACCUGGCGGCGAGUGGCGAACGGGUGAGUAAUAUAUCGGAACGUGCCCUGGAGUGGGGGAUAACGCAGCGAAAGUUGCGCUAAUACCGCAUACGAUCUAAGGAUGAAAGCAGGGGACCGCAAGGCCUUGUGCUCCUGGAGCGGCCGAUAUCUGAUUAGCUAGUUGGUGGGGUAAAGGCCUACCAAGGCAUCGAUCAGUAGCUGGUCUGAGAGGACGACCAGCCACACUGGAACUGAGACACGGUCCAGACUCCUACGGGAGGCAGCAGUGGGGAAUUUUGGACAAUGGGCGAAAGCCUGAUCCAGCAAUGCCGCGUGAGUGAAGAAGGCCUUCGGGUUGUAAAGCUCUUUUGUCAGGGAAGAAACGGUGUGGGCUAAUAUCCCGCACUAAUGACGGUACCUGAAGAAUAAGCACCGGCUAACUACGUGCCAGCAGCCGCGGUAAUACGUAGGGUGCAAGCGUUAAUCGGAAUUACUGGGCGUAAAGCGUGCGCAGGCGGUUUUGUAAGUUUGUCGUGAAAGCCCCGGGCUCAACCUGGGAAUUGCGAUGAAGACUGCAAGGCUUGAAUCUGGCAGAGGGGGGUAGAAUUCCGCGUAGCAGUGAAAUGCGUAGAGAUGUGGAGGAACACCGAUGGCGAAGGCAGCCCCCUGGGUCAAGAUUGACGCUCAUGCACGAAAGCGUGGGGAGCAAACAGGAUUAGAUACCCUAGUAGUCC
RNAcentral lists this ribosomal RNA (789 nucleotides) under uncultured bacterium. Its description in RNAcentral is "bacterial SSU rRNA". It matches the Rfam family "Bacterial small subunit ribosomal RNA", at positions 8 to 796 of the family's 1533-position model. The record is from RNAcentral.